This 468-nucleotide ribosomal RNA is filed under the name uncultured bacterium. Its description in RNAcentral is "partial 16S ribosomal RNA". It matches the Rfam family "Bacterial small subunit ribosomal RNA", at positions 28 to 507 of the family's 1533-position model. The record is from RNAcentral.
GGCGAACGCUGGCGGCGUGCUUAACACAUGCAAGUCGAACGGAAAGGCCCUGCUUGUGUGGGGUUCUCGAGUGGCGAACGGGUAAGUAAGACGUGAGUAACCUGCCCUUGUCUUUGGGAUAACUUCAGGAAACUGGGGCUAAUACCGUAUAGCAUCUCCUGCUGCAUGGUAGGGGUUGGAAAUUUUAGGCUGGUGGGGAUGGACUCGCGGCUUAUCGGCUUGUUGGUGGGGUAGUGGCUUACCAAGGCUUUGACGGGUAGCCGGCCUGAGAGGGUGACCGGCCACAUUGGGACUGAGGUACGGCCCAGAGUCCUACGGGAGGCAGCAGUGGGGAAUAUUGCACAAUGGGAGGAAGCCUGAUGCAGAAACGCCGCGUGCGGGAUGACGGCCUUCGGGUUGUAAACCGCUUUAGCCUGUGACGAAGCGUGAGUGACGGUAAUGGGUAAAGAAGCACCGGCUAACUACGUG